UUUGUUUUUUAAUUAAAAACURGAAUGAAAGGUUAUMCAUUCAAAUUUCUUUAUUAAUUUUUAAUAAAUAAUUUAUAUUAAAUAUAAAAAUAUAUUUUAAAAAAAAAAAGACGACAAGACCCUAUUAAAUUUUACUUAUAGUUUAGCUGGGGAAGCUUUUUAAUUAAAAUUUUUUAAAUUUAAUAAAUAAAAAUCUAAUAAAAUUAAAAUUUUAAUAAAUUACUAUAGGGAUAACAGCAUUAUAUUUUUUUAAAGUUCAUAUUAAAAAAAAAGAUUGUGACCUCGAUGUUGAAUUAUAUUUUCUAUAUUUAAUGCAAUAAUUAUAAAAGUAGAUCUGUUCGAUCUUUAAAAUAUUACAUGAUUUGAGUUCAAACCGGUGUAAACCAGGUUGGUUUCUAUCUUUUUUUUAUAUUUUUCUAGUACGAAAGGACAAAAAAAUUUUUAUUUUAAUAAAUUAGCAAAUAAAUGCAUUAGAUUUAGAAUCUAAAUAUAUUUAAUAAUU
This 502-nucleotide unclassified non-coding RNA is filed under the name Anelosimus tosus. RNAcentral's name for it is "partial contains 16S ribosomal RNA and tRNA-Leu (trnL)". The stretch from base 109 to 401 matches the Rfam family "Bacterial large subunit ribosomal RNA", at positions 2078 to 2643 of the family's 2925-position model. Lineage: Eukaryota; Metazoa; Arthropoda; Arachnida; Araneae; Theridiidae. The record is from RNAcentral.